GCGGAUGUAGCUCAGUUGGUAGAGCACAUGGUUGUGGUCCAUGUGGUCGUGGGUUCGAGUCCCAUCAUUCGCCCCA
This 76-nucleotide transfer RNA is filed under the name Pseudomonadota bacterium. RNAcentral describes it as "Proteobacteria bacterium (hot springs metagenome) tRNA-His". It matches the Rfam family "tRNA". Rfam says of the family: Transfer RNA (tRNA) molecules are approximately 80 nucleotides in length. Lineage: Bacteria; Pseudomonadati; Pseudomonadota. The record is from RNAcentral.